CCUACGGGUGGCAGCAGUCGAGAAUCAUUCACAAUGGGGGAAACCCUGAUGGUGCGACGCCGCGUGGGGGAAUGAAGGUCUUCGGAUUGUAAACCCCUGUCAUGUGGGAGCAAAUUAAAAAGAUAGUACCACAAGAGGAAGAGACGGCUAACUCUGUGCCAGCAGCCGCGGUAAUACAGAGGUCUCAAGCGUUGUUCGGAAUCACUGGGCGUAAAGCGUGCGUAGGCUGUUUCGUAAGUCGUGUGUGAAAGGCGCGGGCUCAACCCGCGGACGGCACAUGAUACUGGGAGACUAGAGUAAGGGAGGGGGAACCGGAAUUCGCGGUGUAGCAGUGAAAUGCGUAGAUAUCGAGAGGAACACUCGUGGCGAAGGCGGGUUCCUGGACAUUAACUGACGCUGAGGCACGAAGGCCAGGGGAGCGAAAGGGAUUAGAUACCCGUGUAGUC
This 446-nucleotide ribosomal RNA is filed under the name uncultured bacterium. RNAcentral describes it as "partial 16S ribosomal RNA". It matches the Rfam family "Bacterial small subunit ribosomal RNA", at positions 338 to 795 of the family's 1533-position model. The record is from RNAcentral.